AGCAGCCGCGGUAAUUCCAGCUCCAAUAGCGUAUAUUAAAGUUGUUGCAGUUAAAAAGCUCGUAGUUGAAUUUCGGGAUCAUCAGGUUGGUCGUGCCUCUGGUAUGUACUGAUUUCGAUGGUCCCUCCUUCUUGAAGAGCCGUAAUGCCAUUAAUUUGGUGUUGCGGGGAAUCAGGACUGUUACUUUGAAAAAAUUAGAGUGUUUAAAGCAGGCAAUCGCUUGAAUACAUUAGCAUGGAAUAAUGAAAUAGGACGUUCGAUCCUAUUUUGUUGGUUUCUAAGAUUGACGUAAUGAUUAAUAGGGAUAGUUGGGGGCAUUAGUAUUCAAUUGUCAGAGGUGAAAUUCUUGGAUUUAUUGAAGACUAACUACUGCGAAAGCAUUUGCCAAGGAUGUUUUCAUUAAUCAAGAACGAAAGUUAGGGGAUCGAAGACGAUCAGAUACCGUCGUAGUCUUAACCAUAAACUAUGCCGACUAGGGAUCGGAUGAUGUUAAUUUUUAAUGUA
This 504-nucleotide ribosomal RNA is filed under the name uncultured Glomus. RNAcentral's name for it is "SSU rRNA". It matches the Rfam family "Eukaryotic small subunit ribosomal RNA", at positions 569 to 1078 of the family's 1831-position model. Lineage: Eukaryota; Fungi; Glomeromycota; Glomeromycetes; Glomerales; Glomeraceae. The record is from RNAcentral.